GGCUCCUUAGUUUAGGGGCAAAAUACAAUCUUCGGGCUAUUUGUGCUACUUUCUAGUACACAAGCCGAUCAAUUGGUUGAGGCCCGGGUUCGAGUCCCGGAGGAGCCC
Molecule: non-coding RNA, 108 nt
Organism: Meira miltonrushii
Lineage: Eukaryota; Fungi; Basidiomycota; Exobasidiomycetes; Exobasidiales; Brachybasidiaceae
Source: the annotation of a RefSeq genome assembly